CCUCCGGACCCUGCUUUUUAAAGGAAACAAUGUUACCGCCUGACUUCCCCCUCCAGGGGAGCAGAUGGACUCACCCACAUCCGGGUCUGGGAGCGCUGGGGUCUCGACGCGGAGAGCGGGCGGAAGGAAGCGGGCGCUCCUGCAGCGGAGUGGAAAAGAGCCCGCCAGGCGAUGCGAGACCUCCCCUUCCGCGCUCCCCAGUUGGUAUCGCCAGCCCUCGGACCGGAAGCAGCGGCAAUGGGUCACUCCACCCACUUGGAACCUGACGACGGUGGCCUGCGAGUGCCCUACUAGUAAAGAAUCCCUGCUUUAGUCGAAGAAAUAAGUUACAGCGAAGAUGAGUAAAACGUGACGUCUGUUAGGGAACGUGCGCGUCUAGAAAGACAACUGGGCAGUGUGACAAGCUCCCCACCUGUGUCAUGCACUGUGCCCAGGGAUGUCGGGGAUCAGUGGAGGAGUCCUAAAGGCGACGGCCUAGACCCUAAGACCUUUUUGUGUUGGCCGAAAACCAAAUAGGAAGAGAAAAGAUAACAUGUAUAAGGAGAGUUUGUUCGGAAGUUAGGAGUGACCAUAUUGAACGGUCAGGGCUUGGGACAGUGACCGAGGCUGGGCGUUGCCUGACUUGUGCUUCUUGCUGCUUUAUAUUCCUUUAAAUGUGGCACAUCCUAGCGCCUGAUCAUAGAAAUGAGAUGCUGACCCCAAAGACCUGCCAUCCCUGUUGUAUUUGGAAGGAAAAGCCGGCGUUAGUGAUGAAGAGGGGCUUUUAAGUGCGGAGGGUAGAAAGCAGGACACGUUGGGGGGGGUGGGGGGCUUGCAAAAUACUGAGGCCAGUUGUGGAAACAUUGAGAAUCAUUGGUACAACUUUUACAUGUAAGG
Molecule: long non-coding RNA, 876 nt
Filed under: Nannospalax galili (Upper Galilee mountains blind mole rat)
Lineage: Eukaryota; Metazoa; Chordata; Mammalia; Rodentia; Spalacidae
Description: lncRNA (ENSNGAG00000024625.1)
Source: RNAcentral